Molecule: ribosomal RNA, 675 nt
Filed under: Salmonella enterica subsp. enterica serovar Montevideo
Lineage: Bacteria; Pseudomonadati; Pseudomonadota; Gammaproteobacteria; Enterobacterales; Enterobacteriaceae
Description: partial 23S ribosomal RNA
Rfam family: Bacterial large subunit ribosomal RNA
Source: RNAcentral
GGCCAAUCAAACCGGGAGAUAGCUGGUUCUCCCCGAAAGCUAUUUAGGUAGCGCCUCGUGAAUUCAUCUCCGGGGGUAGAGCACUGUUUCGGCUAGGGGGCCAUCCCGGCUUACCAACCCGAUGCAAACUGCGAAUACCGGAGAAUGUUAUCACGGGAGACACACGGCGGGUGCUAACGUCCGUCGUGAAGAGGGAAACAACCCAGACCGCCAGCUAAGGUCCCAAAGUCAUGGUUAAGUGGGAAACGAUGUGGGAAGGCCCAGACAGCCAGGAUGUUGGCUUAGAAGCAGCCAUCAUUUAAAGAAAGCGUAAUAGCUCACUGGUCGAGUCGGCCUGCGCGGAAGAUGUAACGGGGCUAAACCAUGCACCGAAGCUGCGGCAGCGACACUCAGGUGUUGUUGGGUAGGGGAGCGUUCUGUAAGCCUGCGAAGGUGGCCUGUGAGGGUUGCUGGAGGUAUCAGAAGUGCGAAUGCUGACAUAAGUAACGAUAAAGCGGGUGAAAAGCCCGCUCGCCGGAAGACCAAGGGUUCCUGUCCAACGUUAAUCGGGGCAGGGUGAGUCGACCCCUAAGGCGAGGCCGAAAGGCGUAGUCGAUGGGAAACGGGUUAAUAUUCCCGUACUUGGUGUUACUGCGAAGGGGGGACGGAGAAGGCUAUGUUGGCCGGGCGACGGUU